GAGUUUGAUCCUGGCUCAGGAUGAACGCUAGCGAAAGGCUUAACACAUGCAAGUCGAGGGGCAGCAUGAUCUUAGCUUGCUAAGGUUGAUGGCGACCGGCGCACGGGUGCGUAACGCGUAUGCAACUUGCCUUACAGAGGGGGAUAACCCGUUGAAAGACGGACUAAAACCGCAUACACUUGUAUUAUUGCAUGAUAUUACAAGGAAAUAUUUAUAGCUGUAAGAUAGGCAUGCGUCCCAUUAGCUUGUUGGUGAGGUAACGGCUCACCAAGGCGACGAUGGGUAGGGGAACUGAGAGGUUUAUCCCCCACACUGGUACUGAGACACGGACCAGACUCCUACGGGAGGCAGCAGUGAGGAAUAUUGGUCAAUGGGCGAGAGCCCGAACCAGCCAAGUCGCGUGAAGGAAGACAGUCCUAAGGAUUGUAAACUUCUUUUAUACGGGAAUAACGGGCGAUACGAGUAUUGCAUUGAAUGUACCGUAAGAAUAAGCAUCGGCUAACUCCGUGCCAGCAGCCGCGGUAAUACGGAGGAUGCGAGCGUUAUCCGGAUUUAUUGGGUUU
This 563-nucleotide ribosomal RNA is filed under the name uncultured bacterium. RNAcentral's name for it is "bacterial SSU rRNA". It matches the Rfam family "Bacterial small subunit ribosomal RNA", at positions 9 to 561 of the family's 1533-position model. The record is from RNAcentral.